RNAcentral lists this unclassified non-coding RNA (428 nucleotides) under Athalia rosae (coleseed sawfly). Its description in RNAcentral is "misc RNA ENSAEAG00005009516.1". Lineage: Eukaryota; Metazoa; Arthropoda; Insecta; Hymenoptera; Athaliidae. The record is from RNAcentral.
UUGAUUUUUUCGAGGUAUUCAGGAGUAUUCUGAUUAGCCAUAUUUGAAGGACUUAUGUGGAGCUUGAAGUCUGGACCAAAAUAUUCAAAGUAAUCAUUGUAUGGUAGUUCGUUAGCUAUUUCCGAACCCAGAGCAACAGAAGUUUCAUAUGUCCAACAUCUGGAUACGUUACGAAUCGUAUAUCCUCCACCUCCAACCAUCAGGAAUGGGAGGUAUAAGUCGGCGAUAGUUGAAACCUGCUGAACUGACUGCUGCACAUCGAGUCAUUUGUUCAUUAAUUACCUGUCAACGAGUCGGCACCACAUUGUAAAACUACUGCAGAGGGUUGGAAUGUUUCCAUGACUUUUGAGAUUAUUGGUACAAAAAUUGAUUCGUAACUUUCAUCGUCCAUCCCAUCUCGUAAAGGUAUAUUAACCGCGUAAUAUUUU